This 497-nucleotide ribosomal RNA is filed under the name uncultured bacterium. RNAcentral's name for it is "partial 16S ribosomal RNA". It matches the Rfam family "Bacterial small subunit ribosomal RNA", at positions 28 to 507 of the family's 1533-position model. The record is from RNAcentral.
GAUGAACGCUGGCGGCGUGCCUAAUACAUGCAAGUCGAGCGAACAGAUGAGGAGCUUGCUCCUCUGACGUUAGCGGCGGACGGGUGAGUAACACGUGGAUAACCUACCUAUAAGACUGGGAUAACUUCGGGAAACCGGAGCUAAUACCGGAUAAUAUAUUGUACCGCAUGGUUCAAUAGUGAAAGACGGUUUUGCUGUCACUUAUAGAUGGAUCCGCGCCGCAUUAGCUAGUUGGUAAGGUAACGGCUUACCAAGGCAACGAUGCGUAGCCGACCUGAGAGGGUGAUCGGCCACACUGGAACUGAGACACGGUCCAGACUCCUACGGGAGGCAGCAGUAGGGAAUCUUCCGCAAAGGGCGAAAGCCUGUCGGAGCAACGCCGCGUGAGUGAUGAAGGUCUUCGGAUCGUAAAACUCUGUUAUUAGGGAAGAACAAAUGUGUAAGUAACUAUGCACGUCUUGACGGUACCUAAUCAGAAAGCCACGGCUAACUACGUG